UACAGAGGGGGCAAGCGUUAUUCGGAAUUAUUGGGCGUAAAGGGCGCGUAGGCGGCUUUGCAAGUGGCGGGUGAAAGCCCUCGGCUUAACCGAGGAACUGCCUGUCAGACUGUGAGGCUUUAGACCGGGAGAGGUGAGUGGAAUUCCCAGUGUAGCGGUGAAAUGCGUAGAUAUUGGGAGGAACACCAGUGGCGAAGGCGGCUCACUGGACCGGAACUGACGCUGAGGAGCGAAAGCGUGGGGAGCAAACAGG
This 253-nucleotide ribosomal RNA is filed under the name uncultured bacterium. Its description in RNAcentral is "partial 16S ribosomal RNA". It matches the Rfam family "Bacterial small subunit ribosomal RNA", at positions 524 to 776 of the family's 1533-position model. The record is from RNAcentral.